CCGAUGCGAGCACCUGAUCAGCAUGCCGCGUGUGUGAAGAAGGCCUUCGGGUUGUAAAGCACUUUUGUCCGGAAAGAAAUCGCACUUACUAAUAUUAGGUGUGGAUGACGGUACCGGAAGAAUAAGGACCGGCUAACUACGUGCCAGCAGCCGCGGUAAUACGUAGGGUCCAAGCGUUAAUCGGAAUUACUGGGCGUAAAGCGUGCGCAGGCGGUUGUGCAAGACCGAUGUGAAAUCCCCGGGCUUAACCUGGGAAUUGCAUUGGUGACUGCACGGCUAGAGUGUGUCAGAGGGGGGUAGAAUUCCACGUGUAGCAGUGAAAUGCGUAGAGAUGUGGAGGAAUACCGAUGGCGAAGGCAGCCCCCUGGGAUAACACUGACGCUCAUGCACGAAAGCGUGGGGAGCAAACAGGAUUAGAUACCCUGGUAGUCCACGCCCUAAACGAUGUCAACUAGUUGUUGGGGAUUCAUUUCCUUAGUAACGUAGCUAACGCGUGAAGUUGACCGCCUGGGGAGUACGGUCGCAAGAUUAAAACUCAAAGGAAAUUGACGGA
This 553-nucleotide ribosomal RNA is filed under the name uncultured bacterium. Its description in RNAcentral is "bacterial SSU rRNA". It matches the Rfam family "Bacterial small subunit ribosomal RNA", at positions 368 to 917 of the family's 1533-position model. The record is from RNAcentral.